RNAcentral lists this ribosomal RNA (864 nucleotides) under Triticum aestivum (bread wheat). Its description in RNAcentral is "partial small subunit ribosomal RNA". Lineage: Eukaryota; Viridiplantae; Streptophyta; Magnoliopsida; Poales; Poaceae. The record is from RNAcentral.
AUGCAGAGGCACCUGCAUUAUAAGUCACUGGAUGAGUUCAGAUCGCUCCUAUACUAUGCCACCUCUCAAGCGAACUUUGAGCAAAGAUGGACCGAUUUCUAUAAUAAGUGGAAGACGGAUAGAACUAAAGAGUGGCUUGACAGGAUGUACAGGAAAAAGAGACUUUGGGCAGCUUCAUAUCUUUUUGAUGGUUUUUUUCUUGGUAUGCGAAGUAACCAGAGAAGCGAAAGCCUCAACUCCUGCCUUCACCUUCACCUGGACUACGGUAUGACAAUAGUUCAUUUGGUUGUGCAUUAUGAGAACUAUAUAGUUCGCCUGCAUGAGAAUGAGGCGUACGAUGACUGCGAGGCACACCAAAAAGAACCACCGUCGGUUACUGAAUAUAAGGCACUUGAGGAGCAUGCCACCAAAGUAUUCACACCUGCUAAUUUUUACAUCCUGCAAGAUGAUUUGCACAAGAUGGGUCAGCUGGAGAUAUUUGAGACGCUCGUGGGAAUUGAGCGUCAGGCAUAUAUGGUGACAUGGAAGGAUAACCACAAGUUCUUGUACAAUGUUGUUUAUGAACCAGGUAACUCAGAAGAAACUAUAACAUGCAGUUGUCUUAGGAUGGUUCGGAAAGGCCUGCCAUGCAAACACAUUCUUUUUGUUCUCCAUCAUCUGAACAUAACUGAAAUACCAAAGUGUUGUGUCCUUCAUCGUUUGUCAAAAAAUGCGAGAGAUGGAUUGCCUGUGCAGCGGAAGAGUGAUAUGUUUGGAUGGGGUUGGUCAGGGCCAUUAGAGAGAGACCGGUAUAGUCAAAUAAUCAUUAAAACCGCAGAGGCAGCUCAUGUUGCAGCAAAUGAUCCUUCUUGCUUGACGAGUUGA